GUACCAUUAGCUCAGCUGGAUAGAGCGUCUGGCUACGGACCAGAAGGUCAGGGGUUCGAAUCCUCUAUGGUACGCCA
RNAcentral lists this transfer RNA (77 nucleotides) under Tissierellia bacterium. RNAcentral describes it as "tRNA-Arg". It matches the Rfam family "tRNA". From Rfam's summary of the family: Transfer RNA (tRNA) molecules are approximately 80 nucleotides in length. Lineage: Bacteria; Bacillati; Bacillota; Tissierellia. The record is from RNAcentral. RNAcentral also lists the same sequence under 3 other names.